AGAUGCUUCAAGUACAAACCAGAGCUGAGGAUUUUGAAUAGACUCCAUUUAGUUUCUCUUCUGGAGGCCCAACCCACACAAUCCUAAUUUCUCUGCCUCUUAAGUUGAUGCCAUAACCAAGUACUGUGGAGACAUCAAAAGAAUGAAGACAAAGAAAACAUACAGAAUUGGAAGCCCUGCCUCCCCAAGGCACAGACAGAGUCUCCUCCGUCUUACUUGAGCUCCACCAAACUCAGGAAGCGUGCAAAUACUUUCAUCCUGCCAGCUUCACUCUGGAACUUUGCUUUCUUGGCUACUAUGGAAGAUCUAACUCUAGAAGUCUCCAUCAACAAUUUGGAAUGAUUUUUGCUUACCUGUGACACCCAGAAAAAAACAACGUUCACAAUUUUACACAGAAAUCAGUGACAUGCGUGGAAAGAAAAUGGAACAGAAGGUAGAAACCUGCGUUCUGGAAUUAGACUGCCGGCGUUUAAAGCUCAUCUCUGCCACUAACCACUUAUAUGAUGUUAGGCAAAUUAGUUUAUCUCUCUGUGCUACUAUUUUCUCAAAAGUAAAAUGUGAGUUGCAAUGUAGUUUGUUUAACUCGAAAAUUUUGAGAUUUGAAUAUAACAUUCAAACGCUAAGAUGUGUACCUGACACAGAAUAAAUGCUCAAUAACAAUAAUCUCUUUUUUAAAAAUGCACAAAAUGUAGAAAGCAAUACAUUGAAUUCCAUUCUUUAAAACGAGCACAUAUCUAAAUGCUGAGUAAUUUCUUACGGAGACCUUACAGAUACAGUUCUUUUUUCUAUUGUUUCCCCGGAAUUAUUCAGAAAAGCAUUUUCUUUAAGCAAGUUCUAAUGGCUGUCACUAUGAUUUAAAGCUUUCUACAGAAUCUUUCACAUAGGGUAUGCCUGCCUAAAUUACUUUGGACCUAGUUUUAGAUAAACUUCCAUAACAAGUGUUGAAUAAAUGCAUGAGUAAAUAAAGUAAAGCAAAACAGA
RNAcentral lists this long non-coding RNA (981 nucleotides) under Homo sapiens (human). RNAcentral's name for it is "novel transcript". Lineage: Eukaryota; Metazoa; Chordata; Mammalia; Primates; Hominidae. The record is from RNAcentral.